This is a long non-coding RNA of Chionomys nivalis (European snow vole), 288 nucleotides long. RefSeq lists it as uncharacterized. The transcript is spliced from 3 exons. Lineage: Eukaryota; Metazoa; Chordata; Mammalia; Rodentia; Cricetidae. The record is from RefSeq and is a predicted model, not a curated record.
GCACAGAGGGCCACAGAGGGCCACAGAGCGCCCCAGAGUGCCCCAGAGUCCACAGACUCUGCCCAGACGGCGACCAGGACUUCACUGGGGGCCUGGGCUGUGCCCAGAGAGGCUUCAGGUGUGAUCACUUGGGAACAAACAAGCAUCUCCAUAGAGAAGGUAUCAGCAUCCGUGACCAAACAAGCAGCUUCCCUAACACAUCCAUCCAGUCUUCAGAAAAGGUAAGGCAUCUUUCUUUUGGGACAGUCCAAGGACCGCUCUACUAUAUCUCCAUUGAACAAGGUGUCC